Molecule: long non-coding RNA, 146 nt
Organism: Thalassophryne amazonica
Lineage: Eukaryota; Metazoa; Chordata; Actinopteri; Batrachoidiformes; Batrachoididae
Exons: 2
Source: RefSeq, a predicted model, not a curated record
CUUAUGUGCUGGGAUGACCUCUGCAGAUCAGCUUCAGUUACUCUCAGGCAGGCCUGUAGCAUCUUCUGUCACACCUGUGUGUCGUCACGCUGUGGCAGACGGUUUACCAGCGCCCUCUGCCGACCACGAAUGCCUUCUACUUCAUU